Non-coding RNA from Ornithorhynchus anatinus (platypus), 141 nucleotides. NCBI's taxonomy places the organism in Eukaryota, Metazoa, Chordata, Mammalia, Monotremata, Ornithorhynchidae. The record is from RefSeq and is marked provisional.
GGAGGGGGCUCCUCCGGCAGUGUGCGUGAUGACAACUUUGGCCGUAGGAAAGCUUGGGGACCGGUUGGUCUUCACGAAGCUCCCUGUGACGGCACUGUCAUAGUUACCCUGAAUGCACUGCCGGGAGGGAGACGCACCUUC